This 90-nucleotide transfer RNA is filed under the name Caenibius sp. WL. RNAcentral's name for it is "tRNA-Ser". It matches the Rfam family "tRNA". Rfam says of the family: Transfer RNA (tRNA) molecules are approximately 80 nucleotides in length. Their secondary structure includes four short double-helical elements and three loops (D, anti-codon, and T loops). Further hydrogen bonds mediate the characteristic L-shaped molecular structure. tRNAs have two regions of fundamental functional importance: the anti-codon, which is responsible for specific mRNA codon recognition, and the 3' end, to which the tRNAs corresponding amino acid is attached (by aminoacyl-tRNA synthetases). tRNAs cope with the degeneracy of the genetic code in two manners: having more than one tRNA (with a specific anti-codon) for a particular amino acid; and 'wobble' base-pairing, i.e. permitting non-standard base-pairing at the 3rd anti-codon position. Lineage: Bacteria; Pseudomonadati; Pseudomonadota; Alphaproteobacteria; Sphingomonadales; Erythrobacteraceae. The record is from RNAcentral.
GGAAGCGUGGCCGAGUGGUUUAAGGCACUGGUCUUGAAAACCAGCAACGGGGCAACCCGUUCGUGGGUUCGAAUCCCACCGCUUCCGCCA